UCCAUUUAACCAAAAUCCUCUUGAUGAACACAGAGUAUUUACAACAUUUUUGCUCUCAUAACAAUGCUCUGAUGAACCUCAUGCAUUCAUCUUUGAGCUUUUGACCAAUUUUCCUUCUGUGGUAAAUUCCUGAAAGUAGAAUUGUUGGGACAAAAGAUUUAGAGAUUUUGUAUCUUUAAACAUAUUACCAGUUUGCCAACCCAAAGGGUCAUAUGAGAUUACUUUCUGCCUACAGUGUAGUACAGUGCCAGCUUCUCCCAACAACCUUGCCAACGUUGGGUAUUGUCAAUUUUUUGGCUCUUUGCCAAGCUGAUAGGAGAAUGGAAUGUCUAAUGGUUUUUGAAUUACAUUCUGACUGUGCUGCAUCAGACUGUAACUGAAUGCAGUUGUGAUGUGUCAGGGGACCUGGUUUAACUCAUAGCACACUGUUUGAAUCUGUGUAAUAACUAACUAUGAUAUAAUCAGGCUUUCUUGCAGUUUUGAAAAAGAAGCCAAACCUUCACAUGGUUUAAAUUACUCUCUCAUUUACACUCUCCAUGCGUGAGAUCACCUGGGAAGCCCUUUGGAGAUGCCCCCAGUGACCCAGUACAAGUUGUCAACUGCACUCUCCAUGAAAGAGAGAUUGUUCUGGUCCAAACCCUAUGCUCUAGAGGAGCAUCUUGGAAACAGCACUGCCCUAUAAUUGAUAUUGCUCCAUUGGGUGGCCUGUGGUAUUCAAUUCACUGGAACGUAUCAAUCCCUUUGCCUUCAGCAAUAAUAUUUUCACAGUUUUGAUGUGUUUUAAAGGUUAUUGUCUCCAGGACAGGUAAUUGAGGAGGCCUCACACUUCAUCAGAGGCCAUUUCAUCUUUAUUACACAGCCACACACAAGGCAGCAUUUUCUCCUUUCACUGAUGGAUUAUUUCAAGAUUUAUAAGGUCUGGUCUACAUGAAAGCAAACACAUGUUUGGGCAAACAGUCAAAUAAUUCAAAGAUAUAGGGUCAGCAGGAUCCUAAUAUAAAAGUCAGGACUUCCAGCCUGGGCAACAAAGUGAAAUCUGGUCUCUACAAAAAAUACAAAAAAUUAGCCGGGCAUGGUGGCUCUCGCCAGUGGUCCCAGCUACCCGAGAAGCUAAGGUGGGAGGAUUGCCUGAGCCCCAGGAAGUGGAGGCUGCAGUGAGCCAUGUUCAUGCCAGUGCACUCCAGUCUGGGCCACAAAGCAAGACCUUGUCUCAAAAAAUGAUAAUAAUAAAUAAUAAAAGUCACAACUUUUUCCUCUUCUACCUGUGCCAGAGACCCACCACCUAACCCACAUACACACAGACACACACAAACACACCAUACACUUAUUCCUUUCUUAAAAUGUGGCUUUCAAAUAUUUGCUUUGCAUGCAGUUUUCUAUGAAGAUAUGACCAGUUUCAAGAUUAUCUACUCUAAGUUUUCUGACUGGUUGUCAGUCAGUCAGUUUGGAACCCUGCCAUAACAUAUUUUCCUCAAAUUCCUUGCAGAUACUGGAAUAAUAAUGAAUGGGAAUGUUAUUUUGAGCCAAUAUUUGGAAAGUCCUUAUUUGGAAUUCUACAGGUUUAUGUCUCCUGCCCAGUUCCUAAGCCCUCUUUAUAGAUAGCCAUCCAGAAGAUAAUCAUCCAGCAGCUAUCCGGGUACAUUCGGCUGACUUGGUUAGUUGGGUCUAAGCAGUAUAUCCAUGAGUUCUAACUCGGGUUUCUCAAACUCUUUUUCCUUCGGGUUUCUCAGACUCUUCUCUCAAACUCAAACUGCCUUCUCCAGUCCAUUGCUAAAGCUUGUAUGACCUUUGCUUUCCCUCCAUUUCUUGACUUGUGGCAUCCACUAGUCCUACAUUGUAGGACUAGUGUGAGCAGGUCACUCAGCCUGAAAGCACUCACCCUGGGCCUCUAGAGCUAAGUUGCCUCAACACACUUCACUAUGGCUUCUCAGAGCACACUCACCUUGAAUGUUUAGAAAAGGUAAUCUUUUGGGGGUUCAAUGAGAUCAAAAGCACGGAUACCAAUUUUGUGAUCAGGAAUCAGGAAAAUCUGGGAAAUGAAGAACGAAAUGAGGCCUUACCAUUUUGAUGCAAAGUUCAUAUUCAAGUGAGUCAGGAGAUCUGGUUUAAGUUCCAGAUCUGCCUCUUACUAGUUUUAGAAUCUUGGGCAAUUCUAGGCUGGACGUGGUGGCUCACACCCAUAAUCCCAGCAAUUUGGGAGGCCAAGGCAGGUGAAUGCUUGAGCCCAGAAGUUCAAGACAUGCCUUGGCAACAUAGGAAGGCCCCAUUUCUACAAAAAUAAAAAUUAGCCAGGCAUGGUGGUGCAUUCCUGUAAUCCCAGCAAUAUGGAAGGUGGGAAGAUCACUUGAGUCCCAGAGGUCAAGGCUGCGGUGAGCUAUGAUCUGCCACUGCACUCCAGCCUGGGUGAGAGUGAGAUCCUCUGUGAAAACAAAACAGAACAAAACAAACAACAAACAAACAAACAAAAAACCAAAAAAAAUUGGAGGGAAUUUAGUUCAUAUAUUUGAGUCUUUGUUUCCUCGUCUAGAAGAUGUAGUAAAGAUAAACGAGGUCAUAUAUGAUUGUCCCUGGCAUAAUAUUUUGGUACUUAUUGAAAAGCAGCUAUUGUUUUAAGUCCUUUGCAUAUACAUUUCUAUGAUUUACUAUAUAUCAGUAGCAUUUCUCCAACCCAUCUUGGCUAGGCAAGCACCACUGAAUAUGAAGGAGGCCAAAUAGAAUGAUACUAUCCAAGCUGCAAAGAAACAAACAAAAGAAAACAUCUAAAUGCAUGCCUCUUUGGAGUGGCAUUUGCAUCCGUUGCCAAUAUCCAUAGAACAAAUGCCUUCAGGCAGGAGAAGUUGGGAUAAUGUCAAUGUUUUUAAUAGCUGUAGUAGAGUCCUAUUUAGAAAGCAGUAAUUAUCUCUCCAUAUUGAUUUUUUACAUCCCCUCAAUAAAUCCAGAAGAAAUGUGAAGACCAUCUGUAAGUGUGAUUUUUACCAGGAUCACACUCUAAUUUGCAAUGGCUGUGUGUCUGUUUGAUUUAGAUCAGGGGUUAGCAAACUGCAGCCCACAAGCCAAAACUACCUCCCCCAUCUAUUUUUAUAAAUAAAGUUUUAUUGGAACACACCCAUCACACCCAUUUCUUUAUAUCUGUGCCUGCUUUCAUGCUACCAUGGUUGUUUUAUUUAAUUGUAACAGGGAUCUAAGAGAUCUAGAGCCCAUAUUGCCCACAGAGCUGAAAACAUAUGUACUAUCUAACCCUUUGCAGGAAAAAAACUUGUUAAAUCAUGAUUGAGAUUAUAGUAGUAUUAUUUCUGAUUGACUAGGUAGUAAUUGGUCCCAGCAUGUAAAGUUUCUAAUAUUAAAGUCACACGAUAAAGGAGCUAGAGGCUUAAGAAAAGUAUACGUGAAUUUAUUUAUUUGGAAUAGGAAGGGAAACAUCCCUGGUAUCAUCAUGAUGGCAUAUAGAGGCAGGGCUGAGAGCUAGAAUACAGAAUACGUCCUUUGCUAGAAACAGUUUCUCGGGCUGGGUUAGAGUGGGUAGAAACUAUGGAUCAUCCUGCCGCAGGUCCAAGUAAACAGGAUUUGGCGCUCUACAUAAUGGCUAUAAAGAAACAUAAAGGUGAUUUCUCCAAGUGUUAUGCUAGGUGAGAAAUAUUUAAUAAGUAAGAGCAAUCAGAAUUGGUCCCAUAUUGAGAAAGUCUGUUUUGGAGCCCAGACUAAAUAGACUGUGCAGUGAGAAAUGAAAGGUCAAUUUAGAUAACUUCAUUUAGGGCAAAAUCAUGACUUAGGAAAUCAUGACUAGAUAAAUAUCCAGUGAAGAGCAGGGAGAGAAGAUUCAUCAAUGGCCGUGGGUUGCUGUGAACUACAGAACUGAAACAUCAAUGUAUGAAUAAAGUGCUGUAUUGAUGGACAGAUGUGUACAUUUUUAUGUAUAUGCCAUAAAAAAUCUGAAUCAAUUUCUAUUUGAAAUAGAGAAAAGCUAGUUCAGAUGUUAGAAACUUUUCUGACGCAAAAUAUUGUGUAAUUCAUAAACAAUUCCUUGUGUUUUAGUUUACAGUAUAUCCAGAAUAUAGGACUUGCCUACUGUAAUGUAUAAAACAAAAGAACUUCAGAUUGAUUUGUUUGUUAAGUAGUAGACAUUCUCCUAGGAUGUUUAUGUUUGUGAAGAUGAUAAAUGGAAGAAUACAUCCACAGAAAAUGUAGACACAGGCCCUUCUCUCCCAGUCUCAACACCACACCCUACACACACACAAUGCCUUCCUUCUAACCUUGUCUAUACUGUCUCUGCAACACACAAAGCAUAUGCCCAGGAUAAGCUUCUCUUUCAACCACCUAUCAGGCUUUCAACAUGUGGUUUGAAAAGAUAGUGACAUUGCUAUGCUCUGACAUACACCGUAAUGUCAGUACAGCAGAAGCAAGUGGAAGAUUCUACUUUUCCGAUAAAGAUCAGUUGCUGUUUCCUGUCUUGAAGACGAAAGUUGAGCAAAAGCAAAGGUCAUCUGUGUUUAUAUUAACAAUGUAAGAGUUAUACUACAUUUUCGCAACAACAUCAGGUCAUUAUUUAUCCACUUGUCCUUUUUUUUUUUUAUCAUUCCUUUGAACUGCCUGCAUUUGCUUAUCGUGAUAUUUCUCAGUCUGUAAACAGCCCGAGUAGCUGUUCUAUUUCUCUAAAUAGAGUCUUAGGUCAUUUUAUUAUCCAGAAUUGUAAGUCAUCAGAAUGCACCCAUCUGUUGUCCUUCCACAUCUGGGCUAACUUUAACUCUUUAAGCCCAUAGAAAAAGUAGAAAAGCCAUUGUGAUAUGAGUUUGAUAUUUUUUCCUACCAUACUGCUUUCCAGCAUAUGGUUUUCCCUGAAAAAUCACAAGGAAAUAUUUACAAAUGUCUUAUUUUUCUUUGGACAUGGCAUUAAACGUGGUAGAUCCUCCACCUCCACUUGGCUCUUUCUGAUUUUCUGUUACCCUAAUUAUCCUUCCUGGGAUCACAGCUGCUCAGAGCCUCUUCUUACCAAUUUAAAAAACCUCUAAAGAUGUGACGGCUGCCUUUCCAGUGGCCAAAAAGCUGAUUUCCAUAGCAGAGGAGCUGCGACUGGGGCAGAGAGCCAAAGACAGCUUGUGCCAACAGCCUUGUCAAUAUGCCAAUCAUCUUGUUAUAGUUUAUUACAUGCAUGACUUGAUUUUCUUGCAUGUGCGUUUUAGAGGUAACAACAUAUUGGUAAACCUGUUUUCAAUCCUUUUGAUUACCUUCAAUUUGAUAGCUCCUUCAGUAAUGAAGAAAAAAAUGGGCUAUUGUGUUUGAAUUACAUUUAUCAAAUGAUUCUAAGAUUGUUCUAACGUGUGCGACAGGAUAAGCUCUCUUUUAGUCACCAAUUGGAGAAAUAUGCUCAGUGUCAAGGAAAUGGAGAAAUGCCUCAUUAUUUAUGUUGACUAAUGUAUAAAUACAAUAUGAACAGGGGCGGUUUCAACCCUGCAAACGUUUUCUUCCAAGUUGCUCUGUGUUUUAGCUAGACUAGACUAGAUUGUUCAGUGGUCACAAACUACCCCAAAAUCUUAACAGUUUACAACAACGGAAGUUUAUUUUCUAAAUAUAUAACAUCCACUGAGUGUUGGCCAGCGUUGACUGGGGGUUGUUCUCCACAUCACGUCCCUAAGGGACCAACAGUGUUGGAGGAGUCUCUCUUCUCAUAUUGAUGUUCACCAUGGCAAAGGCAAUGAUCACAGUGAACCACAUGCUACAUUUUAAGCUUCUACCUGGACACCACACAAGUCACUUCCACUUCCAUUUUGGUGGUAAAGCAAGUCAAUUCAAGUCUGACUUCAGCAUCUUUGGGAAAUAUAAUUCCACCCCAGGAGGGGAAGCAGAUAUGGGUGAAAUGUAAUAAAAUUCACCUCUCCAUCAAGUCCUAGUAGCAUUGUUUUAUUUGAGUGAAUUCUUUUCUUUUUUUUUCUUCCUUACAGAUCCUCUUUAAAACAUCAGCCUGGAAACAGUAUCUGUAGAAAUCAGUUUUGUUAGUUCUAAAGCAGGGCUUCAUUGUUGGGAUGUGUUGUCUGCCUUUGUUAGCAGAUUUCAAUCAUAGCCCUAAAUGGAAGACACAUUUUAGGGCUGUUGCUGCUAUAGAACUCCAGGUCUUUCUGCUUAAGGGUUUCACACUUAUGUGUGAAGGGAGGACACCCUUGGCCAAAAGAACCAAGGCUGCUCAGUUAGCUGCUGGUUGUCCUCCAGCAAAUUCCUAGAACUAAAUACCUGGUGCUGAGGUGUCACGACUCAGCAAGUCCUAGAACCUGUGCUUAUGACAGCACUCUGAUAAUUCCCGGUUAUUGCAUCACUCCCUGAUGGAAACCCAGCUUUUAUUUCAGCAAAAGUAAUGGAUUGUUCCAGACCCCUGACCUCCCUUGAAGAUGUCUUUUUGUUGGAUCUGGCCCUGUAUAUUUUCCAGUUGGUUCAAGACCUAGAGAAAUUUCUACAGACUCUCUCAUACCAGAAUGACAAGACCCAAAUGGGAGAAUUAGGCCAGAAGCAACAACGCCCUCAGGCUUAGUGAAAUUGACCAAAGUUUGAAGAAGUUAUCGCAAACAGUGUGGCCAUUUCUCCUCAGACACUGGACAUCCUACAUCUGUUAUAUGGUUUACCAUCCAUCCACUUCCUUGCUAUAGCUCCAGGUCCACAAUUCUUUGUCAUGUCAUUGCUCUUGACCUAUACCAUGACUGAUAACCAUGUACAUUUUUAAGAAAAAAAUGUAAAUUAAUUAAAAUAAUUU
Long non-coding RNA from Pan troglodytes (chimpanzee), 6736 nucleotides. RefSeq lists it as uncharacterized. Lineage: Eukaryota; Metazoa; Chordata; Mammalia; Primates; Hominidae. The record is from RefSeq and is a predicted model, not a curated record. The transcript has 3 exons.